RNAcentral lists this ribosomal RNA (253 nucleotides) under uncultured bacterium. RNAcentral's name for it is "partial 16S ribosomal RNA". It matches the Rfam family "Bacterial small subunit ribosomal RNA", at positions 524 to 776 of the family's 1533-position model. The record is from RNAcentral.
UACGUAGGGCGCAAGCGUUGUCCGGAAUUAUUGGGCGUAAAGAGCGUGUAGGCGGCCAGGUAGGUCUGCUGUGAAAACUCGAGGCUCAACCUCGAGACGUCGGCGGAAACCAUCUGGCUAGAGUCCGGAAGAGGAGAGUGGAAUUCCUGGUGUAGCGGUGAAAUGCGCAGAUAUCAGGAAGAACACCCGUGGCGAAGGCGGCUCUCUGGGACGGUACUGACGCUGAGACGCGAAAGCGUGGGGAGCGAACAGG